AAUUCGUAUUACGUUUUACUACACAAGUGUAAUAAAGCCAAUUGAGAACGAAGAUUGAGGUUGGUUUUCGGAGCGAAAGUUGCGCAUUGAGAUAACUUACCCUUGGGUCAUCGGUAGCUGUUUAAAAAAUACAAGAAUAUUUUCAAAAUGGCUACCAAAUUAAGAGAAAGUUGAUGGCGUCGGCUAACGUGAGUGUCUCUUUGUAAGAAUACGUGAAAUGAAAUUGGAAGUGGGACGCGAAGAUGCAAGCAGACGCUUUCUUAGGACAAGUGUUGGGUGGAUAUUCGGUUUGCAGUGAACAUUCUUAGAAAGUGAGGUUGUAAAAUACAAUGAUGGAACAAUUAUAAUGGUGUACUAUCAAAAAUAACUUGUUCACAAAAGACUCCAUUGAGUCUUUCAGAAACUGUUCCAGAACAUUUAAAUGAAAUGAGUGUGUCCUAAAAAUACUUUAAAAACGGCCAAGUGAGAACAUAUCCCUUAACCCUUUUAAACUUUUGUACAUUGGAGUCGUUGGUAUCUAUCAAAGAUCAUUUUGACAUCCAGCUUAAGGUAGUGUCUCCUUUCUGGACUUAUCCGCACAAGUAUGAUAGGAUUAAGUCGACGUGGUGUUAAUGCAGGACCUUCUUUGAGCUUGCCAUCUACUCUGGAAGACUCGACAAGCAAUUGGAAAGGGACUUCUGCUAGCACUGCUGAUCCUUCCCAAGGAGGUCCUGGUGGGCCAGGUGCUCCGGGAGGCCCUGUUUCUGCGUCGGCUGGUCCUAACGGCCCUGGAGGGUCAGGAGCACAGGGUGGUGGUGUAAAUAAUUUUGGUGCACCUGGUGGUCCCAACAACUUCGUUGGUCCAGUCUUUCCUGCUUCUGGCCAAGGAUCCCCUGCCGGAGGAUCGACUGGCAACAGCUAUCCAAAUGUUCCACCUGGGACUGGUUCCAACACUCCUCAAUAUACAGCUUCACCAGCUCCAUCUGGAUCAUCAACGCCUGGACCUGGCCCUCCUCAAAGUGUAGGUUCAAGUUUUCCUCCUCCUAAUUCCAGUGGACCAUACAAUGGACCUGUUGGUGGUGGAGUACCUGUAGCUGUCGGACCGUUCAGUUCACCGUCCUCGAAUGGUCCACAAUUUGGAAGACCCAGUAGUUCGGGAUCAGCAUUUGGUACCGGUCCCCACUUUACAUCCCCCAGUGGGCCUGGAUCUUUCGGAACUCCGCAAUUUAGUCUACCACCUGGAUCACCAUUUGGACAUGGGCCAAAUGGACCUAAUAUAGGAGGUCCAAUGGGACAAGGACAUUUAAUAAGCGGACCUCAAGCCACCGAUCGCAUGGACCAAAGUCAAUUGAAUGUACCCAGGAGGCAUGCCUAUUUCGGACAACCAGACUAUAGAAUAUAUGAGUUAAACAAACGGUUGCAACAAAGAACUGAAGUAAUUAUUAUUUAUAUUAUUUAUACGCUAGUAUGUACUUUCAAUCAUUAUUUGUUUUGUUUCGUUCCAUCGUUUAAGGAAAGUGAUAAUUGUUGGUGGGACUCUUUUGCAAACGAGUUUUUCGAAGAUGAUGCAACGUUAACGUUAACCUUUUGUUUGGAAGACGGACCAAAAAGAUAUACAAUAGGACGCACUCUGAUUCCACGAUAUUUUCGAAGUAUUUUUGAGGGUGGCGUAACAGAGUUGUACUUCAAUUUACGACACUCAAAAGAGUCCUUCCACAACACUUCUAUCACAUUGGACUGCGAUCAAUGCACCAUGGAAACAAUUCAUGGUAAACCAAUGUACACUAAGGUGCUUACAGAAGGACGGCUUAUAUUGGAAUUCACAUUCGACGACUUAAUGAGAAUUAAAUCAUGGCACAUGGCCGUCCGGACGCACCGCGAACUCAUUCCACGUUCAGUCAUCGCAUUACACAGUCCCCAGCCAGAUCCAGCAAUGCUGGAGCAACUGUCAAAGAACAUAACGAGACAAGGCAUAACUAAUUCAACCCUAAAUUAUCUGCGCUUGUGCGUCAUAUUGGAACCUAUGCAGGAAUUAAUGUCAAGGCAUAAAGCUUAUGCUUUGAGCCCUAGAGAUUGCCUGAAAACGACAUUGUUCCAAAAGUGGCAGCGGAUGGUCGCACCGCCUGGUAAGAAAGGAGAUGCCCAAAGACCGACAAAUAAACGACGGAAACGUAAAGGAUCUAGUUCGGGUGCAGGAGCAGGUAAUGCAGGACCACAAAUGCCGAACAAAAAACGAUCUCCUGGUCCAAACUUUUCGCUGGCGUCUCAGGUAGAUGUAAUGGUUGUUGGUGAACCAUCGCUGAUGGGUGGAGAGUUUGGAGAUGAAGACGAGCGACUUAUUACACGUUUGGAAAAUACGCAGUACGACGCAGCCAACUCACUGGACCACGAUGGUCACAAUACUUUUGGAGGUCAUAACGAAAGCUCUAUGACUGGUGGAGCGAACUCAUGGCAAGUUGAUCGCGGGGGUGGUCCUUCUAAUAACUCUGGUUCAACUAGUCAGGAUGCAGAAAAAAAAAGUCCUUCCGUUUCACAAUGACAGACAUAAAUUCAACGCACUCAAUAAGUUUUCAUUGUACUACAUUUGUUUGAAUAAGCAAUACCUGUUGUCUACUGCAAGAUCCAGCCCGAAUAAUCGUGAUCAGAUUGCAUACCAACAGAUCCGCAGUUGUAUCAUAUUCUAAUCUUACGUCGAAUGGUGUCUAUGUACUACAAAGCAUAAUAUCUAGAAACGGAUGGAAUGAAUUCAUCAACACGGGGGCGCGCACAUUCACACACACACGUGUGUGUGUGUGUGUGUUACAACAUAACGUGUUUUUGUAUUGCAAAUGUUGUUGCGAUGCAUUACAAUUCGCUUACUGAUGAUUGAUGAUAAUCAUUACUAUUUAAAUGAAUAAAAUAAAAAUAUUUUCUGGAAAAUAUUGUGUUAAAAUCAAAUUUAUACAGAAACAAUACAGUUUUUUUUACAUUAUUCGACGAUCACUCUAGAGUGGGUACCACUUUAUCCAGCUCCACCUCGCUGUCAAAUAUACAAAAAAGCACACCAUUUUCAGUUUAUUUCAGUUGAACUGAUUGCAUAAGACUAUUAAUUUUUUUAAACCAAAAAGACAUCUCAAACUAUCAAAUCCAUCGGGGAAGCAUUGUUAAUUGAAGUAUUGUUAAAAAAAUCCGAUACAUCAUAUAUGGAAAAGGUGUAGUAUUUGUUUACCGUAAAACAGAAGACGUUUGUCAUAUGUUUGCAUUUUGUGAGUAAUAAAAUGAUUAACUACUUCAUAGCGAGUUAGGUUUAACAGAGCCGAGUAGAUGCUCUGUGUCAAUAAGGGGCAUAUUGUAAAUUAUUAAACAUCUCCUCGUUUCGAAAUAAAACCUAAAUUCAAAUAUA
This is an RNA transcript of Anopheles aquasalis, 3361 nucleotides long. It is a transcript of the gene named LIM domain-binding protein 2 Chi, with no coding region annotated. The record is from RefSeq and is a predicted model, not a curated record. Lineage: Eukaryota; Metazoa; Arthropoda; Insecta; Diptera; Culicidae.